Molecule: long non-coding RNA, 1010 nt
Filed under: Ursus americanus (American black bear)
Lineage: Eukaryota; Metazoa; Chordata; Mammalia; Carnivora; Ursidae
Description: lncRNA (ENSUAMG00000012700.1)
Source: RNAcentral
CCGGGUCCCAAACGCUUCUCUCCUCCACGCGUGUAAACCGCAGAGUGCAGCGCGGUGCCAUCUCCCGCAACUCUUCGCAGGGCAGGACGGCUCCGGGACGGAGACGGCCGGGCGAAGCGCACGGCCAGGCCCCACUCCCCCGGUCCCGCGCCGCGCCACUCCUCCUCUCCUGACUCCGACUUGGCCAUAUGGAACCACCGGACCUCUCCGAGGAGCGGCCGGCAGAACCCGGUCUCCGCGUCCGCGACUAGCGCCUCGAGGGACCUUUGUCCGGGACGAAAACGAAAGCGCUCGGGCUGGGGGCGCCCACGCCCUGCCGCGGAGCUGCUGACAACAGGCAGAGCAGAGACGGCCCAAGCAUCGGUGACUUCACAAUGGGGUGGGUUUCAUUCUUUCCCGGAGGAAAGUCCAGGGUGGCCCUCUCAGACUCAAGGACUGUGGGGUCCAGAGCUGGAAGCCUAGGAAUUCUGUGUUCCUCCUUCCUCAGAAAAGGACACCCUUGUAGCGGCUUGAAUCUCGGGAAUGCCGUGCCCAUGUUAUGGCAAUAUGGCAGAAGAACAAUCCCUCCUGUCUAGCAGAGUCCUUUAUAAUUUUCUUCCCUAUUACAGUUCCUAGCCCCAACCUGGGCUGUGGGGUAAGAGAACAGGUUCCUACAAGCUGAGUAUGUGCCGGGCAGUCCGAAAGAGCCGCCCAGAGCCUCUCUCACCUCCCUCUUGCUCCGGCCACACCGAGGAAGAACCCAUUGCCAUCACACAUACACACACCCCGGUCCCCCUAUCUCUACCGUGUGGUUCAACUGCUUUAAAAACCACGUUAGACAUUCUGUGGUUGAGCAACUUUGGGGACUCCAGGACAAGAAAAUGCUUUUAGAGACUGGCUGAAUGCAGACAUCUAAACACAGUAUGUCUCGGGAUGUUUUAAUACCAAACCUUGUUUUUCCAAAAUAAUGAGCAAGCUCGGUUAAUGAUCGAACAGGGAUUUUGAAAAUAAAUAUAUGGUUACUAUUUUCA